Treponema maltophilum ATCC 51939 is the source of this 136-nucleotide regulatory RNA element. It matches the Rfam family "TD-1 RNA". From Rfam's summary of the family: non coding RNA found in Treponema denticola The record is from Rfam. Lineage: Bacteria; Pseudomonadati; Spirochaetota; Spirochaetia; Treponematales; Treponemataceae.
AAAACGCUGCGAGUUUCGGUUUGGAUAUUUAGUUGCCGAAACAUCGCAUGAUUAUAUACCGUUUCUCGUUUCACUGCGAAACGGCGAAUUGAACAGCUUCCAAAAUUGAUAUUUUGUUCAGCUGUUCAAUUUUAAG